RNAcentral lists this ribosomal RNA (453 nucleotides) under uncultured bacterium. Its description in RNAcentral is "SSU rRNA". It matches the Rfam family "Bacterial small subunit ribosomal RNA", at positions 26 to 516 of the family's 1533-position model. The record is from RNAcentral.
AGGAUGAACGCUGGCGGCGUGCCUAAUACAUGCAAGUCGAGCGGUAAGGCCCCUUCGGGGGUACACGAGCGGCGGACGGCUGAGUAACACGUAGGAACGUACCCCAAACUGAGGGAUAAGCACCAGAAAUGGUGUCUAAUACCGCAUGUGGUCUUCGGAUUAAAGCUUCGGCGGUUUGGGAACGGCCUGCGCAUGAUUAGCUUGUUGGUGAGGUAAAAGCUUACCAAGGCGACGAUCAUUAGCUGGUCUGAGAGGAUGAUCAGCCAGACUGGGACUGAGAACGGCCCAGACUCCUACGGGAGGCAGCAGUGGGGAAUUUUGCGCAAUGGGGGAAACCCUGACGCAGCAACGCCGCGUGGAGGAUGAAAUCCCUUGGGAUGUAAACUCCUUUCGAUCGGGAAGAUAAUGACGGUACCGAGAGAAGAAGCCCCGGCUAACUUCGUGCCAGCAGCC